Molecule: long non-coding RNA, 573 nt
Organism: Trifolium pratense (red clover)
Lineage: Eukaryota; Viridiplantae; Streptophyta; Magnoliopsida; Fabales; Fabaceae
Exons: 3
Source: RefSeq, a predicted model, not a curated record
CUCUCUAAUACAUUAUAAAGAGUAAAAUGAUAUUAUAUUUUUACAUUCAAAAAAGAAAAAAUAUGGCUGAAAUUCUCAAGUUUGUUUAUGCAAUGAUUCUAUUUCUUUCCUUAUUUAUUGACGCAGCGAAAUACAUAUAUCGUAAGCCGUCAUUUUUCUCACGUUUACAUGAAUGUGAACAAGACGGUGAUUGUCCAGAAAUUGUUUCAUAUCCUUUGGUUUUGAGGUGUAUUGGUUACAAUUGUGUAGUUGUUAACAGCCAAGAAUAAUUAUACACAAAUGCCAUGAAGGGGAAGAAUGAGCUCUUUAUUUUAUUUUAAGAAAAAAAAAAGCUCUUUAUUUUAUUUAUUUUUUUACGAUUAAGAAUGAGCUCUUUAACUAGCUAAAUAUUUGUGCAAGAUAUUUUAUUCUAGAAUAUUUUAUUAGUUGUCACUUGUUAUUAGUUAUUGUGAUGGAACCAAAUAGUUAUUAUUAUUAUUUAUUUAUGUUCCAUACUCUAAUUUAAAAAAUCCUGAAGGCAUGACUUGUAAUGUAAGAUGAUGAUAAUAAAAUAAAGGUUUAAUUAGUAUGCUA